This 232-nucleotide ribosomal RNA is filed under the name uncultured bacterium. Its description in RNAcentral is "partial 16S ribosomal RNA". It matches the Rfam family "Bacterial small subunit ribosomal RNA", at positions 15 to 228 of the family's 1533-position model. The record is from RNAcentral.
GAUCAUGGCUCAGGACGAACGCUGGCGGCGUGCUUAACACAUGCAAGUCGAACGGAGCACCCUUGACUGAGGUUUCGGCCAAAUGAUAAGAAUGCUUAGUGGCGGACUGGUGAGUAACGCGUGAGGAACCUGCCUUUCAGAGGGGGACAACAGUUGGAAACGACUGCUAAUACCGCAUGAUGCGUAACUGGGACAUCCCGGAUACGCCAAAGAUUUUAUCGCUGAAAGAUGG